RNAcentral lists this long non-coding RNA (1427 nucleotides) under Drosophila guanche. The record is from RNAcentral. Lineage: Eukaryota; Metazoa; Arthropoda; Insecta; Diptera; Drosophilidae.
GCUGAAAAUCUUUAUUUUUAACCCUUUUAUUACAUACAUUUUUUUAAAAUUAAUCAAUGUAAUUUUUAACAAUUUGUAAACCUUUUCUUUUGUUUAGAACUUUUUUUUUAAAACCACAUCCAUGCCUAGCCAGGGUAUUCCACACGUCUACCCAUCUGUUUUAAUCUUCUUUGGCACUUGUUCACCCAAAGAUCUGGAUAUCUUGAACUGGUUUGCUCUACCAUUAUUAUUUAUUGAACUUUACUUUUCGGGGCGCGCUUAAAAGCGAAAUUAAUUCAAAAAAUUUCAAUACAAUUAAAGGAAUUUAUUUUUCGGGUUGAUCUUAACUUCCCGUGCGAUCUGUAUGCCGCUCACAGUAAUGACCAUAAAAAUCAUACAAAAUAAUCGAUUCGCCACAGUCAUAACCAGCGACGACGACCAGUCCCAUAUGCACUUUGCCGUUAACAGGCUUUUGGUUUUUAUGGCCUUAGUGGCAUUUCAGUACAACAACAACAACAACAACAACAAAUAUAACAACUCAUUACCAAUUAUGCUAAUCGGAUGAGAGAGGGUGAGGGAAGAGAGGCUGCAGCAACAGGUUGAGUUGGCGAUCUGUUUGCGAUCGAUCAAAGAAUAAAUGGAAUUACUCGAUGGACAGAUCUACGAGAUAGAUGUGUAUGUAUCUCUGCAAUCGAAAGAGUUCUUUUUUGUUUCUCUCCUGUAAUCGAUACUGUUUUGCAUAUUUAUAAGUAGAUUUUUUUUUUUUUGAUUUUUCUUCGAUUCGAUCCACGAUCGACGAUCUGUUGCUGUUUCUGUUUCUGCGCUCUCUGUCUACAGUUUAUGUUAAUUGCAUUUCGCAUUCGCAUUCGCCAUCGCCAACUCGCGCUCUAUGAAAUUAAUACUUUUUAUCGCCUGCUCCAUCGCCGCGAACUUGUAGCUCACAUGUUAGCUGUAAAUUAAGUUGACAACUAGGCGGCUGCCACUGUCUGGAGUGCUGCCACGAUUGAAAGCCAGAGAGCUGUGGUUGGAACUGAUUGGGAAAUCGAUGUACAGAAUGCUGCUCAUAUUUUGACUAUGAAAAGUAGCUAAAUAAAAAGCAAAUCUACACACAUUAUUCAGCCAUUUGCCACACAUUUUGUAUCUUUACUUUUCUGCAUAAAUGCUUCUCCAGCUUUCAGUUUUCCGCCCAAGAAUAAACCCAAGAUUUCAGCCUUUCAUUUCUCACACUCAAAGCAACGCCGCCGCCGCUGCUGCGGCCCCUUCAAUAGACCCGUCAAGUGCCGCAGCCCAAAGCCUAUAGAUAUGCCCCAUCAUGGCGUAUCCCUCUCGUGUGUGUGUAGAUAUCUGUUUGCUUGGCUAUCCGUCAGUUGGGUGUACACUUUACAGCGCAAAUAGGCAGCCACUGCCAUUAGCUUUUGGGGCAAAAAACUCUGUCCCGGUUUUGCCAA